Molecule: long non-coding RNA, 2884 nt
Organism: Gasterosteus aculeatus aculeatus (three-spined stickleback)
Lineage: Eukaryota; Metazoa; Chordata; Actinopteri; Perciformes; Gasterosteidae
Source: Ensembl
CUGAAUCUCCGGCUGCAUGAACGAGCCUCGAUUCACUACAAGCCUGAACUUCUACGACGCGCCUCUGCCAUACCUCCACUGCUGCGCGGCGCAGGAUGUAAUCAAUCCCACAUGUUUCAUCUGCGCGACUCGGGGAUUUGCACUUUGAAUAUUUUUGUACUAUUUUUCUUUUCUUGCCACGCAAAUGGAUGUAAUUUACCAGACAUGACGGGGACUCGGUUUCCAGCCUGCAAAGCCGAACGCACGCUCGACGCGAGGGGAGCCCGAAGUUCAUAAAAGGGAUUAUUUGCAUCUGGGUGCCUGAGACCUUCGGUGCCUGCCGGAUUUUACUUUGGGAUUUUGGGAUUUAUCGCCUUCUCGACGGGAUGGAGAGCCGAGACUUCGCUCCUCCGCACCACCUCCUGACGGAGCGGGGCGCGCUGGUUCACGGCGCCGCGGCUCGGCUGGCGCCGGGCGGCCACGGCUCCGUGCAGCACCCCGCUCACUACCAGCCGGGGAAGUACUACCCGUCGCACCUCUCCAUGGGUGCGCACUCAGGUCAGUCCGGACUGCGGCCUUUUCUCUUCUGCUGUAAAUGACGCGUGUGACUUCGAAUGUUUGCUUUUAUUUAACCAUAAUUUACUCUUUUGUCUGAAGCACAUGCUGUCCAUAUUUCAAACUUGGGAAAACGUUGCAGCCUUUUGGGACGAGUUGGCUUUGCAUUUGGGCAUUAAGAAAUAUCACAUUGAAUAGUUUUAUUUUUUAUUUCUCUUUAUUCGUGACAUUUCUGCUUUCUCGGUCGCGUAAAAACAAAACAUUUUAAGACAUUUCCCUUUUAAAGAAACGUUGCAAUUAUAAUUACUACCACAUACCUCGCUUUUUUUUCGCAUUUAAAAAGUCGAGGUUUGAGAAGCAUUAUAGGAUUAGUCGUUUUAUCACACAUGGAUUAUUAGGCGUUUUUCCAUAAGCAUAAUCUUGUCAUAGAUUUAUAUGAUUUCAUCAAUUAGUAAAGUACUAAUCAUUGCCAUUUGAAGUAAUUAAUUUGAAUUGGGUAAUUCUACUGCUUAUAUUUCCCAUUAAACAAUAAAUUAAAGCUAUUAGCAGACUGCAUUUUCUGUGCACCGUUUCCUCCCUCGUGCGUGGCUCCAUGGCGCCUGUUGGGUUGGUGCUGCCGGGUCUUGGGGGCUGGGGGGCCCAUGCGGGUUUGUACUGGUCACAAACUGGGGGUCGCGUUGGUGGAAGUGCAGCUCCGGGUAAUAGAGGUGCGGGUAAUACCAGAAAAUCCGGUUUCUAUAUCGAGCGGGGACGUGACGGGGUGCGAAUGGGUUGACAGUGCAUGCAUUAGAUUUAACAAGUAGCUUUGGUAUCCUGUCUCAAUAGGGGAGGCGAGGGGGUCGGGGGGUGGGGGGGGAGAAAGAAAGAAAGACUCCGCAGUGAAAUCAUACAGUGUCUGUAAACUGGACUAACUGGAUGAAUGUGAACGUGCUCCACGAGAAAUCUCAUUAAUUAUCAUUUAUCAAACGCAGCGGCUGCUUUAAAUAGACGUCGAGGCGCGAGCCUGUGAAUCAAUGAUCUCGUGCAGGAUCCGCACGUCGAUGUCUCUCGCGCUCAUUUGCAUAUUCAUUAGUUUUACACAACUGCAAAAAGAAGUGGCAAACGUCCAGUGCGGCAUUUUAUUUUUUUUAAUGUAUUUAGUAUUUCUUACAGAAAACGUACUUUUUGCAUUUCCGGUCGGACGGUGAGUUUGGCGCGCUGUUUAGACGUUUAGAACUGAAACAGUUAUUUGGGCCCUUCGAGGUCCUGGUUCUGGUUCCGGUCUCCUUCUGCUGCUUCAAAUGGAGGAAGCCUGAUCAAAAAUAAUGUUAUUUUUAUCAGCUCGUCUUGUUCUUCAGAAAUAUUCUUGCAACCUUCAUGACUCCGAACGUAUUGUGUUUGUAAAGGAUUUAAUGUCGUCCAAUCAAUAUGCAACAUACGUGGUGCUACAAUACAGUUAUACUUAUCAUUUCCCAUAAUUUCGGAUUAUUUUGAAAUAUAUUUUGAAAUGUAACAAAUGAAAUAGUGUAUAGGCUUAACGUGAUGUGCAAAAUAUAUUUUACUCUGCGACACGUGUCAAUUUACAGUUGUACACCAUAACAAUGUAUUAAAGAAUAAUUACAUUCAUUUUAUAUUAAUACAAUAUUUUAAAGGUUUUAUGAUACGUUCAGCGGCUCCUCAAAAAUUGACCAAAGUGAUUUUAGCCAAAAUAUGUAAUUUUGAGAACUCGUAACUGAUGGUGAGAUUGUUUCAACAAACACACAUCCAACUCGCAUAACAAUUUAAAGCGAUUACACUCCCCUUUGACGGAUAUCGCUACCCGCUGACAUACAUUAUGCUCCAAUUUAAGGAUGAUUCUGUAACGUUGAAGGGAAAAAAAAGCGUAGUAAUGCGGGGUGAUAAUGCUAUUGAAAUAUAUUCAAGGGGGCCUCUCACUGGGUCUCGAGGUGCAUGACACUGUAUUGAGAUUCCAGAUAUCCAGACUCUCCAUGCAUGUCCCUGAUGGGGUUUUGACUGACGUGAUGGGCACAGAGGAUUGUUGUUUUGGGAUGGGGGUUGGGGUACGUGAGUGUGUGUGUGUGUGUGUGUGUGUGUGUGCUGGGAGGUUAGGAUGGGGGUUACCUUUGUGCUUGCCCCCUUAGAGAUUCAGAAAGCUGUAUGCCUGGCCCGAGGCCUCGGCACAGGGGGCAGAUUUGAUGUGGGGUUGGCCAUGCCGGGGCAGGAGAGGGGGGGGGGGGUUGUUUCAGAUCUUUGGAAGGAGACACAGACACAUUUUUUUUACUGUCUCACAGGACCGAACCGGGUGUAUCACUUACAGUAAUUCAAAGUAUGACCUCCCCGUUUCUUCAUAUGCAGGAAAACCUGCAAUCCA